UGCUUGUCUCAAAGAUUAAGCCAUGCUUGCCUAAGUAUAAAUAGUAUACAGUGAAACUGCGAAUGGCUCAUUAAAACAGUUAUAGUUUAUUUGAUAAUUGACAAUUACAUGGAUAACCGUGGUAAUUCUAGAGCUAAUACAUGCUUAAACGCCCGACUUUAUGGAAGGGUGGUAUUUAUUAGACUGAAGCCAAUAUUCCUUGUGUCUAUUGCGGUGAUUCAUAAUAACUGAUCGAAUCUCUUUUUGAGAUAAAUCAUUCAAGUUUCUGCCCUAUCAGCUUUCGAUGGUAGUGUAUUGGACUACCAUGGCAGUAACGGGUAACGAAGAAUUAGGGUUCGAUUUCGGAGAGGGAGCAUGAGAAACGGCUACCACAUCUAAGGAAGGCAGCAGGCGCGUAAAUUACCCAAUCCUGACUCAGGGAGGUAGUGACAAGAAAUAGCAAACCGGGAACCUCAUGGUUUCACGGUAUUGCAAUGAGAACAAUUUAAAACCCUUAGCGAGAAUCAAGUGGAGGACAAGUCUGGUGCCAGCACCCGCGGUAAUUCCAGCUCCACUAGCGUAUAUUAAAGUUGUUGCAGUUAAAAAGCUCGUAGUUGAACCUCUGUCUGGGGCUAGUUUUGGCUUUGGUCAGGCUAGUUCUAGGCAUCCGCCUACAAGACUUAGAGGGCAUUCAGUUGUUCACUAGGAGGAGUAGGCAUUUUACUUUGAAAAAAUUAGAGUGUUUAAGGCAGGCAAUCGCCCGCAUAUAUUAGCAUGGAAUAAUAGAAUAGGACACUUUUCCAUUUCGUUGGUUAUUGGAAUCGUGUAAUGAUUAAUAGGGACAGUUGUGGGCGUUUGUAUUUAAUUGUCAGAGGUGAAAUUCUUGGAUUUAUUAAAGACAAACUGACGCGAAAGCAUUUGCCAAGGAUGUUUUCAUUAAUCAAGAACGAAAGUUAGGGGAUCAAGGACGAUCAGAUACCGUCCUAGUCUUAACUAUAAACUAUUCCGACUCAAUGUUUGACUGGCUUAUAUAACCAGUUGAGCGUUGUAUGAGAAAUCAAAGUCUUUGGGUUCUGGGGGGAGUAUGGUUGCAAAGCUGAAACUUAAAGGAAUUGACGGAAGAGCACAACCAGGAGUGGAUUCUGCGGCUUAAUUUGACUCAACACGGGGAAACUUACCAGGUUAAAACAAUAGUGGGAUUGACAGUUUGAGAGCGCUUUCUUGAUUGGUUGGGUGGUGGUUCAUGGCCGUUCUUAGUUGGUGGAGUGAUUUGUCUGCUUAAUUGCGUUAACGAACGAGACCUUAACCUGCUUACUAGACU
This 1300-nucleotide ribosomal RNA is filed under the name metagenome. Its description in RNAcentral is "SSU rRNA". It matches the Rfam family "Eukaryotic small subunit ribosomal RNA", at positions 29 to 1361 of the family's 1831-position model. The record is from RNAcentral.